GAUGAACGCUGGCGGCGUGCCUAAUACAUGCAAGUCGAGCGAACAGACGAGGAGCUUGCUCCUCUGACGUUAGCGGCGGACGGGUGAGUAACACGUGGAUAACCUACCUAUAAGACUGGGAUAACUUCGGGAAACCGGAGCUAAUACCGGAUAAUAUAUUGAACCGCAUGGUUCAAUAGUGAAAGACGGUUUUGCUGUCACUUAUAGAUGGAUCCGCGCCGCAUUAGCUAGUUGGUAAGGUAACGGCUUACCAAGGCGACGAUGCGUAACCGACCUGAGAGGGGGAUCGGCCACACUGGAACUGAGACACGGUCCAGACUCCUACGGGAGGCAGCAGUAGGGAAUCUUCCGCAAUGGGCGAAAGCCUGACGGAGCAACGCCGCGUGAGUGAUGAAGGUCUUCGGAUCGUAAAACUCUGUUAUUAGGGAAGAACAAAUGUGUAAGUAACUAUGCACGUCUUGACGGUACCUAAUCAGAAAGCCACGGCUAACUACGUG
RNAcentral lists this ribosomal RNA (497 nucleotides) under uncultured bacterium. Its description in RNAcentral is "partial 16S ribosomal RNA". It matches the Rfam family "Bacterial small subunit ribosomal RNA", at positions 28 to 507 of the family's 1533-position model. The record is from RNAcentral.